This 253-nucleotide ribosomal RNA is filed under the name uncultured bacterium. RNAcentral's name for it is "partial 16S ribosomal RNA". It matches the Rfam family "Bacterial small subunit ribosomal RNA", at positions 524 to 776 of the family's 1533-position model. The record is from RNAcentral.
UACGGGGGGGGCAAGCGUUGUCCGGAUUUAUUGGGCGUAAAGAGCGUGUAGGCGGUUCGGUAGGUCCGUUGUGAAAACUCGAGGCUCAACCUCGAGACGCCGAUGGAAACCCUCGAACUAGAGUCCGGAAGAGGAGAGUGGAAUUCCUGGUGUAGCGGUGAAAUGCGCAGAUAUCAGGAAGAACACCCGUGGCUAAGGCGGCUCUCUAGUACGGUACUGACGCUGAGACGCGAAAGCGUGGGGAGCAAACAGG